UUUUUUCAUUUGUUUU
This 16-nucleotide small RNA is filed under the name Arabidopsis thaliana (thale cress). Its description in RNAcentral is "ATSL032640". The record is from RNAcentral. Lineage: Eukaryota; Viridiplantae; Streptophyta; Magnoliopsida; Brassicales; Brassicaceae.